ACUGCUCAGUAACACGUAGUCAAUCUACCCUAUGGACGGGAAUAACCCCGGGAAGCUGAGAAUAAUGCCCGAUAGAACAUUAUGCCUGGAAUGGUUUAUGUUUCAAAUGAUUUAUCGCCAUAGGAUGGGACUGCGGCCUAUCAGUUUGUUGGUGAGGUAAUGGCCCACCAAGACUAUUACAGGUACGGGCUCUGAGAGGAGUAGCCCGGCGAUGGGUACUGAGACACGGACCCAGGCCCUAUGGGGCGCAGCAGGCGAGAAAACUUUGCAAUGUGCGAAAGCACGACAAGGUUAAUCCGAGUGGUUUCUGCUAAAGAAACCUUUUGUCAGUCCUAGAAACACUAACGAAUAAGGGGUGGGCAAGUUCUGGUGUCAGCCGCCGCGGUAAAACCAGCACCUCAAGUGGUCAGGAUGAUUAUUGGGCCUAAAGCAUCCGUAGCUCGUUUUGUAAGUUUUCGGUUAAAUCCAUGCGCUUAACGUAUGGGCUGCCGGGAAUACUGCAUAACUAGGAAGUGGGAGAGGUAGACGGUACUCAGUAGGAAGGGGUGAAAUCCUUUGAUCUCUUGAUGACCACCUGUGGCGAAGGCGGUCUACCAGAACACGUUCAACGGUGAGGGAUGAAAGCUGGGGGAGCAAACCGGAUUAGAUACCCGGGUAGUCCCAGCUGUAAACUAUGCAAACUCAGUGAUGCAUUGGCUUAUGGCCAAUGCAGUGCUGCAGGGAAGCCGUUAAGUUUGCCGCCUGGGAAGUACGUACGCAAGUAUGAAACUUAAAGGAAUUGGCGGGGGAGCAC
Molecule: ribosomal RNA, 793 nt
Filed under: uncultured archaeon
Lineage: Archaea
Description: bacterial SSU rRNA
Rfam family: Archaeal small subunit ribosomal RNA
Source: RNAcentral